AGCCUUCUGGUGAUUCCCACAGGCUGUGCUCCUACACUUACUGUAGAGAAAAAGUAGGCAAAGUAGACCUAUCCCAUAUAAACCUCAGCCCAGUCCUAUGCUUAGUCAAUAUUGUGAAUGGGAGACAUAG
RNAcentral lists this small nucleolar RNA (130 nucleotides) under Castor canadensis (American beaver). RNAcentral's name for it is "Small nucleolar RNA SNORA51 (ENSCCNG00000023073.1)". It matches the Rfam family "Small nucleolar RNA SNORA51". Rfam says of the family: ACA51 is a member of the H/ACA class of snoRNA that guide the sites of modification of uridines to pseudouridines. Lineage: Eukaryota; Metazoa; Chordata; Mammalia; Rodentia; Castoridae. The record is from Rfam by way of RNAcentral.